CAGCAGCCACGGGAAUACGUAGGGUGCGAGCGUUAAUCGAAUUACUGGGCGUAAAGCGUGCGCAGGCGGUUGUGUAAGACAGGUGUGAAAUCCCCGGGCUUAACCUGGGAACUGCGCUUGUGACUGCACAGCUAGAGUAUGGCAGAGGGGGGUGGAAUUCCACGUGUAGCAGUGAAAUGCGUAGAGAUGUGGAGGAACACCGAUGGCGAAGGCAGCCCCCUGGGCCAAUACUGACGCUCAUGCACGAAAGCGUGGGGAGCAAACAGGAUUAGAUACCCCCGUAGUCCCUGUCUCUUAUACA
Molecule: ribosomal RNA, 301 nt
Filed under: uncultured bacterium
Lineage: Bacteria
Description: partial 16S ribosomal RNA
Rfam family: Bacterial small subunit ribosomal RNA
Source: RNAcentral